GAUGAACGCUGGCGGCGUGCCUAAUACAUGCAAGUCGAGCGAACAGACGAGGAGCUUGCUCCUCUGACGUUAGCGGCGGACGGGUGAGUAACACGUGGAUAACCUACCUAUAAGACUGGGAUAACUUCGGGAAACCGGAGCUAAUACCGGAUAAUAUAUUGAACCGCAUGGUUCAAUAGUGAAAGACGGUUUUGCUGUCACUUAUAGAUGGAUCCGCGCCGCAUUAGCUAGUUGGUAAGGUAACGGCUUACCAAGGCAACGAUGCGUAGCCGACCUGAGAGGGUGAUCGGCCACACUGGAACUGAGACACGGUCCAGACUCCGACGGGAGGCAGCAGUAGGGAAUCUUCCGCAAUGGGCGAAAGCCUGACGGAGCAACGCCGCGUGAGUGAUGAAGGUCUUCGGAUCGUAAAACUCUGUUAUUAGGGAAGAACAAAUGUGUAAGUAACUAUGCACGUCCUGACGGUACCUAAUCAGAAAGCCACGGCUAACUACGUG
RNAcentral lists this ribosomal RNA (497 nucleotides) under uncultured bacterium. Its description in RNAcentral is "partial 16S ribosomal RNA". It matches the Rfam family "Bacterial small subunit ribosomal RNA", at positions 28 to 507 of the family's 1533-position model. The record is from RNAcentral.